AUGAGGAAUUUCGUUGAGAAAUUGGUGCUCUCUUUACUAUGGAUAUCGCUGUUCCAAGGGUGCAUGGUCCAGUCCGUGGAAUAUGAUCAUACGGCCAGUAUUGAGUGCCUCCGUGAUCCGAUGAAGCCCCUCUAUAAGGGCGGCAUCAUCCAGAACAGCGAGUUCAACAACGGCCUCAUGGGGUGGUCGACCUACCGGAACAUCAAGGCCGGCGUCGGCAAGUCGGCGUCCGGCAACCGGUUCGCCGUGGUGCAAGGCGCGAUCAGCUCCCUGUUCAGUGCCGCCGGCGAUGCAGCCGCCUUGCAGUCCCACAGCGUCUAUCAGAAAGUCCAGAUGCAGGGCGACACCCACUACUCGCUCUCAGCAUGGUUGCAAGUGUCGGCCGGGACGGCCCAUGUGAGGGCGGUGGUCAAGGCCCCCAACGGCGAGAACAUCACCGCCGGCGGUAUCGAUGCCCAGUCCGGCUGCUGGACCAUGCUCAAGGGCGGUAUGACCGCGCAUGCCUAUCACUCCGGACAAGGAGAGGUCUUCUUCGAGAGCGACACCCCCGUGGACAUCUGGGUGGACAGCGUCUCCCUGCAACCCUUCUCCUUUGAUGAAUGGGACGCCCACGCCCGCCGGUCCGCCCACAAGGUCCGUCGGAGCACGGUUAAGGUUGUUGUGAGGGGCCCCGACGGGCAGCCAAUGCCGAACACGAGCGUCAGCAUCCAGCUCCUCCGCACAGGGUUCCCGUUCGGCAACACGAUGACCAAGGAGAUCAUCAGCAACCCGGCCUACGAGAAGUGGUUCUUCUCGCGCUUCACGGUGGCCACCAUGGAGAACGAGAUGAAGUGGUACAGCACGGAGUGGAACCAGAACCAAGAGGACUACAAAAUCCCGGACGACAUGCUCAAGAUGGCUCAGAAGUACGGCGUCAAGGUGCGCGGGCACAACGUGUUCUGGGACGACCAGAACUCGCAGAUCAAGUGGGUGCGGCCGAUGGGCGUCGACCAGCUCAAGGCGGCGAUGCAGAAGCGGCUCAAGUCGGUGGUGUCGCGGUACGCCGGGAAGGUGAUCCACUGGGACGUGCUCAACGAGAACCUGCACUUCAACUUCUUCGAGACCAAGCUGGGCCCCAACGCGUCGCCCAUGAUCUACCAGCAGGUGGGCCAGAUCGACCACAACGCCGUCCUCUUCAUGAACGAGUUCAACACGCUGGAGCAGCCCAUGGACCCCAAUGGCACCCCCGCCAAGUACGUCGCCAAGAUCAAGCUCAUCCAGGGCUACCCCGGCAACGGCGGCCUCAAGCUCGGUGUCGGCCUCGAGAGCCACUUCUCCACUCCCAACAUCCCAUACGUCAGGGGAGCCCUCGACACGCUCGCGCAGCUCAAGCUGCCCAUGUGGAUGACCGAGGUCGACGUCGUCAAGGGCCCCAACCAGGUCAAGUACCUGGAGCAGGUGCUCAGGGAAGGCUACGGCCACCCCGGGGUGCAGGGCAUCGUCAUGUGGGCCGCAUGGCACGCCAACGGAUGCUACGUCAUGUGCCUCACCGACAACACCUUCAAGAACCUCCCCGUCGGUGCCCUCGUAGACAAGCUCAUCGCCGAGUGGAAGACGCACCCGACGUCUGCCACCACCGACGCCAAUGGGUUCGUCGAGCUCGACCUCGCCCAUGGCGACUACAAGUUGACGGUGAACCACCCUUCUUCGCUAGCCACGUCCCACACCAUCACGGUGGAUGCAGCGUCAUCCGAGCAUACCAUCAGUUUGAAGGUGUAG
RNAcentral lists this ribosomal RNA (1758 nucleotides) under Triticum aestivum (bread wheat). RNAcentral describes it as "partial small subunit ribosomal RNA". Lineage: Eukaryota; Viridiplantae; Streptophyta; Magnoliopsida; Poales; Poaceae. The record is from RNAcentral.